GUGAAUUUGCAAUUAUUUCAGCAACUUGGUUCUACAACUUCCUUCACAACUAAUCCAAUUUCCAUAAGAGUUAUAUUUAACAAAAUAGAUAAACAGUGCACUUGCUUAUGUAAACACGUUGAUAGUACAUAAACAUCCCUCAAUUCAUGUGGUUCAUCAACAUCUCAAGUCACAUGCUUAUGUAAGAUUGAAGUACCAACAUUGACUACACUAGAGAGAAUGCGAUGGAAGGUGUUGAUCAUGAGGGCCUGAAACUAAAUUCUGAUUGAUUUACAUGUUGGAGUAGCCUACGCCUUCAUAACUGCAGAAAAGCUCUUUUAACAGGUCACCUAUAGAAAAUCAUUGCAAAAUAUUAUUGCAUGAGUAUAAUAACUAGCAAAAUAUAUAGGAAUUAUCAAACAAAUUAAAUAUAUACAGGAAUUAUCAAUCCUCAAUGUCAAAUAAUAUAAAUUCUAUAACAUCACCAGAAGCAAUGGAAUGGAUUGCAAUACUCUCUAGUUACUGCCCUUUUUUUUUUGUGACAUCCACUUGCUGUCAGGAGCCUUUCGGAAUUUCAUUUCAAAGUUUGAAAAACAAUUCACCAACUUGAUCUCUCAUUCAGACCUUCUUGGUAAGAGGUACAACCUUGUACAUCAGUAUAUGUUUAUAAUUAGGCCUAAAAUCUGAUACAUGUAACUCAUUGUAUAACAAUUUCUGGAUUGAUAGCACCUAAACUUGUCUAUCUGUCAAGUAAAACCUAACAUAUAAUCAUUUUCUUAUCAAAAGUUACCACUUUACUAAGCAACUGAGUACUCGCAUUAUUAUAGAGUCUUGCCCUGCCUAAGACUAAAUUUCAAAGCCCAACAUCUUGCCAGAGAACAUAGGCAAGUGGCAGAGCUCGGCUAUCCUGAAACAUAUUAAAAGAACUAGAAAUUGAGAAUGAAAAGCGAAAUAUAUAUAUAUGUAAUGACUGUGACUAACUUCCUUAUUAGUCACAACCGGUGCAUACAACUCUUGUUAAUAAACAACCCUUCAGUCUUAUGCAAAGCAUGAGAAAAGCUGGAGUCAUCAUACAUGUAGACACUGUGAAGCACUACUAGUAUCUGCUGUCUUCAGAUUGUGGAGUGAAUGAGAAACAGGAAUCCCCAUCUAGUGCACAAACAAAUAUUAAUAUUGAUGACACAACAUUUGAAGGUUGGGGUGUGGGUUUGGUAUCAUUGCACGCAAUAGAAAUGGAAAGGUCAUGCUUGCUGCGUCAAAAAGGGAGCAGACCAAAUAUCUUGUGGUUGUGGCUGAGGUGCAUGCAAUGAAAUGGGUGUGGAGCUAACACUUUAUUUGGGUCGUUCAGACAUAAUUGUUGAAACAGAUUCAUCCUUUGUGAUUAAAUAGAUGCAAGAGAAAACACGGACUUUCCUCCCUGAAUUUGGUGGUAAAUGAUAUUUAAUGAUUAACUGUCAAAAUUCUGCACUUACGCUUAUAGACAUGUCAUAUGUCAGCAAACUCUAUGUCUUACUAAUUAGGUAGGAAUGCUGUUAAUAAAUAAAAAUAAAAUAAAAUAAA
Molecule: unclassified non-coding RNA, 1539 nt
Filed under: Hevea brasiliensis (rubber tree)
Lineage: Eukaryota; Viridiplantae; Streptophyta; Magnoliopsida; Malpighiales; Euphorbiaceae
Source: RNAcentral